ACACUAAAAAUGCAAUUCAUUAUGUAUAUGCAUAUAUCAUUUUUGUUUUAUUUUGUGCAGAAUUGGAAUUGUGUGUAUUAAAUGUAGUCGAUGUGGACCUGAAGUUAUCACACACUGUCAUCAUUAGCCGCACUUACUACCAACUCCUUAAACAAUCCUCCUGUCUCAAUGUCACCAUCUUUAUUUAUGUUCUUUUUCCAGAAAAAAAAAACACAAAUUAUACCUUAGAUAUUAGACUGGAUCGUACAUUGCAU
Molecule: long non-coding RNA, 254 nt
Filed under: Capsella rubella
Lineage: Eukaryota; Viridiplantae; Streptophyta; Magnoliopsida; Brassicales; Brassicaceae
Description: long non-coding RNA (CRUB_LNC005035)
Source: RNAcentral